GAUGAACGCUGGCGGCGUGCCUAAUACAUGCAAGUCGAGCGAACAGACGAGGAGCUUGCUCCUUGCCCUUUAGGGGGGGAGGGGGGAGAAACCCGUGGUAACCUUCCUUUAAUUACGGGUAAACUUUGGGAAAUCGGGAGCAAAUCCGGUAGAAGUUUCCGACCCACUGGGUUGGUUGGUAAAAGUUGGCUUUCCUGCACCUAUUCGAGGAACCUGCGCCGAAUUAGCUGGUUGUUAGGGUAACGGCUUACCAAGGCAAGGAUACGUAGCCGACUUGAGAGGCGGAUCGGCCACACUGGAACUGAGACACGGUCCAGACUCCUACGGGAGGCAGCAGUAGGGAAUCUGCCGCAAUGGGCGAAAGCCUGACGGAGCAACGCCGCGUGAGUGAUGAAGGUCUUCGGAUCGUAAAACUCUGUUAUUAGGGAAGAACAAACGUGUAAGUAACUGUGCACGUCUUGACGGUACCUAAUCAGAAAGCCACGGCUAACUACGUG
Molecule: ribosomal RNA, 497 nt
Filed under: uncultured bacterium
Lineage: Bacteria
Description: partial 16S ribosomal RNA
Rfam family: Bacterial small subunit ribosomal RNA
Source: RNAcentral